AGAUCAAAUCAGAUCACAAACGUCUUGAACCAUUAAAAUCACAGAAACAUGCAGGGAACGAGAGCGACAACUGUAUUUACAUUUUAAUUAUUCGCGAAUACCCAAAGCUUGUGCCCAACUUGUUUGGAAACAAAAUCGUGGCUCAAUGGAAUUUCCAAUUACGACUGCAAUGUUAGAGUAUCUGCAUUAGCUAAUCAACGUUGCUUGUCAUAAUCACGAAGCUGUAUAUAGUUAUAUGUAUUUGUUUAACCUGGAGAAAUGAAGGAAAUACGGCUUUCCAAAGCAUUGCAUGGACGUUCUUACUUGAAGGGUGUGGCAUUGGGAAGUUAAUCGCGUCUUUAGAUUGGUGUAUUCACCAGUUUACCUGACAUAUAUUGAUAAGGGACCUGGUUUAUCAAUGUAAAAACCUAUUUCAACACUUGCUAAUUCAAUUAAUAAGGUAAAUAUUCUAGAUAAAAGGUAAUAGUACCCAACUGAAUUUGCCAGCAUACAGUAGUAGGCCUAUAAAUAAUUUAUGAAUCAUUUAAUGUAUAAAAAGAAAUAAUGUGGAGGGGGUGUUUUCAAACAGUGAGUCUCUCUUUAGAGACCUCAUGCACUCCAAAUAGACACAACCAAUACAAAGCAAUACAGCGAGGUGCAUGCAUUUUGAUGCCUUACGAUAGUAUUCUGAAAUCAGAGCGAAGUCGUACACGGCAUUCACUCGCCAUCAUUGUUUUUAGAGACUUCUGAGCGACAGAGCAGCGCAGCUCUCCAGAAAUAGCCUUCGCGUCUAGUCAUGCAAUAGGCUACGUGGUGAAUGUUCUACAGGUUCCGCAGCAGGAUGCCACGCUUGAUUACAAAGAGCAGAGUCCAAACUUGGAUGCAGAAAUCUGACCAUGGCUGCUGUCCUUCCUCUAUCCAAAUCUGAGUGAACAGAAGCUGGCAAGGAGAGAAUCCUCCAUGAUGAUGCAGAGACUGGAGAAAUACACAGUGCAUAAGCUGAGUCAUUUUACACUUCUAACAGCUAGACUAAAAGACUGCAGUGACUCAUACAAUCCAAAUAGGUUUGUUCCUGGUUCAUCCUGUUUCAGUACAUGUCACAGUAAAAUCUGAGAAUCAAAGAUUCAUUGGCAUUUUUUUUUUGUUGUCCUGGCAAGACUUUCAUGAAAUGUGAAACUGUUUAUAGAAAGCCAUCAUUAAAUGAAUAACUGAAUUGUAUUGGAAUAAAAUGUCAAUAAAAUAAUUUGAGACCAUU
This is a long non-coding RNA of Anguilla anguilla (European eel), 1234 nucleotides long. RefSeq lists it as uncharacterized. Lineage: Eukaryota; Metazoa; Chordata; Actinopteri; Anguilliformes; Anguillidae. The record is from RefSeq and is a predicted model, not a curated record. The transcript has 2 exons.